UGAAGACAAAACCAUGCCCACCAGACCCACCAACAUAGCUGGGGACAAUGGCAAAGAUGAAGGUUGUGGCAAAGGAGGAAGCUGUGGUGGGGUGUUGGGAAUCAUGGCUGUUCUUGUUGAGAAAGUGAAAUGGGGUGUUGUAGAAGGCAUGGCCAGUGAGGUUGGGUGAUGAGUUUGUAAGCCUGAGAGCCCCAUUUGGCGUGGUGAGGGAAGCCCCACCAAGGCUUAAGUUGGAUGCAGAAGCUUUGAAGCCAUUGAAGAUGAAGCCAUAAUCAGACUGAGAGUAAGCUUGAUUAAGGAGGAGCAGAGAGAAGAGGGGAAAGAGGAGAGUUUUUGCCAUUUUAGAUGGGUUUUUCUCAAGGUAGAACUGUAGAAGAUAGAUUUGUAGGCAAAUGUGAGAGGCAUACACGUCGUCUUCAGUUUCCUGUGGAGUUGUGGACAAAUGUCCAUCUCUUCGUACCAUUUUCAAAUCAAUAGACCCAGUGUAAUUUAAUUUGCUUAGGUUGCUAGGGUUAAAGUGGCCAAUUUGUAAGGAAAAGCAAAAUUUCUAGAAGAAAAAAGAUGUUCUUUGAUUGAAAGUUUUCAAAUAACAGGCAUUUGUGUUGAUGGUGUGACAUUAGCCUCCAAGAAUUUGUGCAGAGAUGAUGAUCUGGAUGCAGAAUAUUUUUGUGCAAGAGAAAAGAUUUAUUUCGUGUUUGUUUGAAGCCAUGGAUACAGAAUUAGAUUUUAGAACCCGUCUAAUCAUAAUUUUGAAAAUAGUUUUUAAAAAUAAAAUUUUAAGAUUAAUUCAUAAAAAUAAUUGUGUGGACCUCGUAUUUCUGUUCAUGCGCUUCCACUCGAUGACGAACUCGUUUUUUAUUUGAAAAAUGAUUUAUUUUUUAGAAAAUAACUUGGAGUCGUCACUUAUUUUUGUUUUAUUUUUAAAGGGGAAACAAAAUAAGAAAGAAAACCCUAAGUGUGACCUUAUUUUGGAAAAGGUGAUCUGUGAAAAACUAAAUAUGGACUCGAAGGUCAGGUUACUUAUUGGGAAGGUACGGUAAAGGCCGUAACACCCCUCUAAGUCCCUAAAAAUAGGUCUCUACUGAUGAAAUGAGACAAGUAUGACAAUUGAUUGAUCAAAUAUGGAUACCGAAUGAAUAUCAAUCAAAACAAAAUAAUCGAAUGAACAAGAGAAACAAAGAGUGUACCUAAUUGAUGAGCGGAUUUGCUUCAUGAAAAUAAAGAUUAGUAAACAAACAUAGAAUAAUCACAUGUGUGUCAUAGAGUGGAAUAAGUCAAUCAUGUAUAGCAAUCAAUGAGAUAAUCACAUAUGUUGGGUCCCUAUUAAGACCCACUUUAUUUUUGCAUGAAUUAAUUCUGUAAAUUCCAUACUGGGGCAUAUUUCCUUCUUUUAGCUGUGGAGAGGAUUACUUUCUCACAGGCUUGUUGUCGUUUUCAUUACUCAGUCGAGGGAUAUUUAUUCAUAUCGUUGGCCACAGUUUCGAUGAUUUUUGACGAGAUAAGCCACUAGAGGAGCACAACUUUCGGGUUUUAACUGUCCCACCAUUCAUGAUUCUUUAGUAGAUUGUUGUGUUGAGAUGGUGGUAGUUACCCUAACAGCUUAUCCUCUUGUGACUCCCCAGUGGAUCAUUCCUUUGAGACGACGAUGGAUUCUUCCGGCAUAACAUGUUGAGUUAGAGGCGUCCGACUUAUUGUGACACAUCAUCAAGUCUCGUGAUUCAGUCAGAUUGGCUGUGAAGCCAUAUUAACAGUCGAUUUGACCGUUCCAACUCGUCAGCGGAGCAUCUUUUGAGACUCAUGAAGUAUGUUUUAGACCUUUCCUGUGGAUUGAGAGUUGUAGCGGCACGCUACACUGGGGCAUAUUUUCUCCUCAUUAUCUCCUCACAUUUUCAGUUUGGGCGUUCAGAGCCACAAUCUCUUCUCAGUUUCGGCGUUCAGAGUCAUCAUAUCUUCUCAGUUUUGGUGUUCAAAGCCAUCAUAUAUUCUUAGUUUCGGCGUUCAAAGUCACCAUCUCUUCUCAGUUUUGACGUUUAAAGCCACCAUCUUCUCAGUUUGGGCCUUCAGAACCACCAUAUCUUCUCAUUUUUGGCGUUUAGAGCCAUCAUCUCUUCUAAGUUUCGGUGUUCAGAGCUACCAUCUCUUCUUAGUUUUGGCGUUCAGAGCCACAAUAUUCUUAGUUUGGGCAUUCAGGGCCACCAUCUUUUCUCAGUUUGGGCGUUCAAAGUCACCAUCUGCAUUAUUUGGCAUUCAGAGCCACCAUCUCCUCUCAGUCUGGCAUUUAGAGUCAUCAUCUUAUCAUGAUCGAGCAUUCGCUGCCACUUUUUUGGCGUUCAAAGCUACAUUCAUGACGUUCAGGGUCAUUGUUCACAGUUUGGCGUUCAGAGCCUUUAUCUUCUUCAAUUUGUUGUUCAAAGUCGCAUAUCAACCUGGCAUUCAAAGCCGCCAUUUUCCUUUAGUUCGGCGUUCGGAGCCACGUUCCUAACAUUUAGAGUUGUCUUUCUCUGUUAGUUAGGUGUUCGGAGCCACGUUGCUAGCAUUUAGGAUUGUCAUUUUCUUUUAGUUUAGUAUUCAAAGUCAUUCUUACCAUUCAGGGCCACUUUCAUCAAUUUUAGGCGUUCAGAGCCAUGUCUUCAAUUUGGCAUUUAGAACCACCAUCUUCUUCAGUUUGACAUUCAGAGUUGUGUCUUCAUUUUGACAUUCAAGGCCAUUGUCUAGCUUGGCAUUCGGUGCCACCAUCUCCUUUUAGUUUUGGUGUUCAGAAUCGUUUUUUCCCAGCUUUGUCAUCCAUAGUCAUGGCUCCUGGCAUUCAUAUUCAUUGGCAUUGCACAUCUUGCCUUCACGAUUUUUACGUUCAUCCUCAUUUUCCUCACCUCGUUACCUUGUGCUUAUCGCUUGUUCAUCACGUUCUUCUAGACUUCCCAUUCCCUUGCACAUGACAUAGUUCAUUGAGUUCAUGGCACAUAUUUUGAUCAUGUUAUUGGGGCACCCUACACUUAGCAUCCUCAUGUAGUUCACAUAGGGCAAUCCCCUUUGGACGCAUUCUUUCCUGUACUCGAAGGUGGUUCAACUGCUACUCAACUUUGACAUCGAUCUUCGAGUCACUUUUGGAGACAUCUUAGAGUGUCUGGGUCCAUAACACAACUUUAGAUGCAUUCUAAGAGCUACCAUUUUUUUAGGAUUUUAGAGCCCCUUUUGUUCUUUGUCAGUUUGAACAAGUUUGUGUUCUACUUGUGUACCUUUGGGGGUCUUUCUUUUUCUUUGGUAGAGUUCACUCUAUUCUACUCACUAUUCACACUUUCUUUUCACUCUAGUAUUCAUAUUCUUUGCACUCGUGAACUCUACCGAAGAUGGGUAUAUUUGUAGACCUUUGUAGGACCGUGGGUUUUUUUUCUCAAACCCGGGAAGAGCUGGCAACUUGUUUUUGGAGUGGGGGCCAAUUUCCGAAGGAGUCAAGCUACAUGGACGUGUGGCUAAGGGACAUUACCACCUUGUUAGGUGGUGGUUGAGGAUGGUCAUAUUUGCUAAACCAGGAGCAAGUGAAGACAUAGGGGAGGAAGAAAAACAGAGGAAAUAGGAAAAAAAAAACAGAGCAAGCUUUUUGGUGGUGGGAAAUAUAUAGAAAAAAAAAACGGAACUGAGGAAAGGGUGGUGAGUCUGCGGAUAUCCCAAGAGAGAGCAAAAGCAGAGGACUUUGAGGUACGUUGGUUGUGAUUUCCUUGCUCAUUUUUGCUAGAGAGGAGCUCUACCAGGUGCGAGCAUUGUGGAUCUUUAUUGUUCAUCUUUCUGAUUACAUUGUUCUUCAUGCAUUUUUCUUGUUAUUUUUUUUAGCUUUCAUUUGCUACUUGGAUGUGACUACUCUGCUAUUCUCUCAUUUUCUUUGAUUUCGUUUGGGGCUACCAUGCGCAUGGGUUCAUCCAAAUCAUGUCAAUGUUCUCUGUUUAUCCCAUGUUCAUGGCCCAUGAAUUCACAUAUAAAAUAAGGCUCCAUAGGUUUUUUUUUUUUUUUUUUUUCUUUCUCUGUUUCUUCCUUGGGGACAUGAGAAACUUCUUCUCCUUCUUUUUGUGGGACUGGUCUCGGCUCGGAGGGAUGUGGGGAGGUUUUAAGAGAGAGGGAGUUGUAGGAAGAGCUAGUCACAAGCUUGAGAGAGAAGAUGAGCAUGAGAGCAGAUCUGGAACUAAUAACAUGGACGGUGCUUCUGGGGAUGAUCAGGAUGCUAUCAACAACCCACCAAGGAAGAAGAGAUACCACCGACACACUCCUCGGCAAAUCCAAGAACUUGAAGCCCUAUUCAAGGAGUGUCUUCAUCCUGAUGAAAAGCAAAUGUUGGAACUCAACAAAAGGCUUUGCUUGGAGACUAGGCAAGUGAAAUUCUAGUUCCAAAAUCAUCGUACCCAGAUGAAGACCCGAUUAGAACGACAUGAGAACUCAAUUCUUAAGCAAGAAAAAUGAUAAACUUUAGGCUAAAAACAUGUCAAUAAAGGAUGCUAUGAGGAACCCAAUUUGCACCAACUGUGGUGGUCCGGUAAUUAUUGGUGACAUUUCUGUAAAGGAGGCAGAAUCUUUUUCUAGAUGUCAAAAGCUUCACAUACCUUUGAAUAAUAACCUUUGCCGUAAUGAAAUUGGUCAGUCCGAGAAUAUUCGAAUCCAAACCCGGUAUCAACAGGGUUGAAACUUUCUUAUGAGGAAGAUGAGCACAACUCUUCUAUUACUUUCGCAUGUGAUAUCAUGACCGCCGCACUCCCUGUUAUUUCAUCUCUUGGUGAUAAUCUGAAGCUUGAGGUAGAAAAGGUUGAAAAAAGAGAAGAGGCGGUUCUUUGCAUUGUCACUAGGGUCGUUUUUUUCACUACUCAAACAUCUUCCCAUUCUUUCUCAUCAUAUGCACCCAUCAUACCUAUUUUUUCUCACAUUUUCCUCCACUCAAACAUCUUCAUAUUCUCUCUCAUACAUAUAUAGCCAUCAUACCUAUUUAUCUCACAUUUUUCCUCCACUCAAACAUCUUCUCAUUCUGUCUCAUACGUAUGCACUCACCAAACCCAUUCUUUAUUUAUUUUUUCUUUCUCUCACUAUUUCCUCCACUUAAAUAUCUUCCAACUCUCUUUCAUACCCGUGCAACUUGCAUUUCCAUUUUAUUUCUUCAUAUUUUAACAUCAAAGUUUAAUGUUCCAAAAUUUCAAUUUUUAAAUUUAAUUUUCAAAACUCUAAUUCUCAAUUAAUUUCCAAAAUUUCAAUUCUUAAAUUUAAUUUUUAAAACUCCAAUUUUCAAUUAAUUUCCAAAAUUCCAAUUCUUAAAUUUAAUUUCCAAAAUUCCAUUCCCUAAAUUUAAUUUCCAAAAUUCCAUUCCCUAAAUUUAAUUUCCAAAAUUCCAAUUCUCAAAUAAUUUCCAAAAUUCCAAUUUCUUUCAAACUUAAUUUCCAAGAUUCCAAUUCUUAAAUUUAAUUUCCAAAAUUCCAUUUCUUAAAUUUAAUUUUCAAAACUCCAAUUCUCACAAAAUUCCAAUUUCUUUCAAAUUUAAUUUCAAAAAUUCUAAUCCUUAAAUUUAAUUUUCAAAACUCCAAUUUUCAAAUAUUUUUUUUUAAGAUUUCAAUUUUUAAAUAAUUUUCAAAAUUCCAAUUUUCUUCAAAUAAUUUUAAAUCCACUCCAGUUUUCUAAUAAUUUUAAGUCCUCAACUUUUGUCCUUCAUUAGGGUUUUAGGUCACCAAAAAUCCGGAUUUUGAUAAACUUGCUACUUUUCCUUAUGGGUAAGCACUUCCACAAAUUUCCUUUGAUUUUAAAAUAAUUUUUCUUUUUUUUCGAUUUUUAAAUAAAAAUGAAUAUGAUUCUCAUAUCUCUAGAAAUAAUGGAAUUUAUGAGAUUAAUUCACGCAAAAUCAAUCGGGCUUUGGUGGGGGCCCAACAUCCAUAACAUUUCUUCAAAAAUAAUUCAAGUGAAUCGCAUGAUUGAUAUAAUUUGAUUUUGAUUGGUUUUGUGUGAAAUAUUUUACAUUUAUCAUUGUGCACUAACUCUGUUUCAUGAUAGCGCUUUAUUAUUUGUUGCUAAAGUACGCUCCUAUUCCUACUUCAUUUAUUUAUUCGUUCUCAUGCUCAAUUUGUUUUAUUAUUUGAUCAUUUCAUUGGUAUCUAUUGAUCUCCUUAUUAAUUGUCACACUUGUUUCACCUUAUUUAGUAGAGACCUUAUUAUAAGGCUUAGAAGGGUGCUACGGCUCACCACUGUACCUUCCCAAUAGGUAACCUGACCCUCGAACCCAAACUCGGUUUUCCACAAACUUAUUUUUUCUUCAGGAGUGACACUUAGUGUUUUUCUUUCUUAUUUUGUUUUUUCCUUAAAAAAUAUUAAAAUAAGUGGCGACUCCAAGUCUUUUUCUAAAAAUCAAAUUUUCAUAAAUAAAUUAAAAAAAAAAGAGUUUCGCCAUUGAAUGAGAAAGCAUCGAGCAAAAUACAUGGUCUACGCAAUGUUUUUAGUAUUUUUGUUAUUUAAUUUUUCAUAUUAUAAAUUCUUCUUUUCUUUUAUUAGUCUUUUUUUUUUCUUUUAUUGAAUGAUACCAACAUUACCAUUUUUAAAAUAUGAAAAUUUAUUUAUAAUUAUUAUAAUACUCAAACUUUUUAUUCCCUUCACACCAAAUUUUUUGGCUCCACCGCUACUUUCAAUAUAUCAUAUGCUGAAAAAUGUAGGCUAUGUUUGAAAAUUGUUCUCGACAAUACUUUUUUAUUUAUAUAUAUAUAAAUUGUUUCCAAAAUAUAUUUUUGAGAAAAAUGGAAAUUAUAUUUGCAUCCACCAAAUUGAUUUUUGCAUCCAUUCUAUUUACACAUCCACUUAAAAAUAAUAAUUUUAUUAAUACAUCAACUAACAAUUUUAAACAUUUUUCAAUCCAUCAUUUAAAAAAAAAAAAAAAACAAAUUGCUUUAAGCAUAUACAAAAAAAUAGGCUUACAAAUUCCUUCAUACGCCCAUGCAAAAAAAAGUGUAGGUACAUAACUAAAUCAUCUCAAAAAACAAUUUUAUGGUAACACUAUUAAAGUAAGUGAUGAACCAAUUGUAAGGCUUAGAUAUUGAUAUUGUUGUUAACAAUAUUGACACAAUUAUGUUUAUGUCUAGGAUGUAAUGGAAUUGGUCGUUUGCAUGUUUUUCUAUUAUGUCUAUAAUCAUUACAUCUACCACAACAUCAUGUGCACUUAAUAACCUUUUUGCCUGAUCAAAUUCUUUCAUUUUUUGGUCUUCCUACUAGUUGUUGACUUUUAGGUGGUAAUACAACUCUACAACAAAUGUAUUUAGGAAUUACCCAAUCUUUUUUAUUUCUAGUAGAAUAUAUAGAUUUUGAAUAUGAAGAUAUAAGUGAGUUCUUCAUAUAGUAUUGAGAGCACAUAAUAUAUAACGACAUGUUUCCAUAUCUACAUGCAUCGAUCGCAUGUGUACAUGAAAUAUGGUCAAGAUCAAACAUCCUACAUGUGCAUGAACAUGCUUGCAAAUUAACUUAAUCACUUAUCCCAACAUAUUUGACAUUAAACUCCCAAAAAUUAAUAGACUCAACCUCAUAACUUGAUAAUUUAUUAAACCUUAAGCACAACUUCAAGUUAACCCAUGUGAUAAGUUCAAUUUUCAUUGACAAUGCUUGUUGUUGGCGAUUUGAAAACCAUCUCUAAAGUAAGUUUCUCAACUCUUCAACCAUUCUCAUAAUCGAAAGAUCUCUUGCAUCUUUUAAUACAACAUUCAUGCACUCAAUAAUCCUGUAAUCAUGAUAUUAUAUUUUUUUUCAUUAUUAUGUGACCGAGUUUAUUGCUUAAUUCCUAUAUCCACUAAAUAAACAGAUGCUCUAAUUUUCCAUACAUGUGAUUUAUUACUUACUAUUAUUUGACUUUGUCAUAUGGAUAAAACUUUUAACUUCUUUUAAAUUAAAAUUUUCACUUUUUCACAUUUUAAAACUUUUUUUUUUCAUAACUAAUGUUGAAGCUUUUUUUACCAACAAUGGUGAAGUAAGGUUUUAAAUUUAUAGGAAACAAAAAGAAAUAAAAUGAUAAUAUAUAUAAAAAAAAAUGUUGGUUGCUUACAAGACUAAGAAUAAAGAGUAGAUGAAACAAUAGUGAGAAUUUAGGUUUUUUCUUUGUCGGGAAACAAAAAAGGAGCAAAUAGAUGAUCAAAUAAAAAAAUAAAAAGCUAAUAUAUUGUAAAAUAGAGGGAAGAGAAAAUCAUCUUAGAGGAAAAAAAAAAAAAAGAGGAGGGGGGGGGGGGUGGUAUUUAUACUUUUUGAGAGAUAAAUUAUUCUUAUAAAUAUGAGAGUUAUUUUAAUCCCUUUUAACCAAAUAACCUAAAUUUUAAACCGUUAAAAAAAGUAUUGAGAAGUUGUCUUGAAGGCUUAAGGCUGUGUCAAAAAUGGUCAAUGGGCUUCUACCUCCUACUUUUCCAUCUUAGAAAAGCCUAGGAUUCCAUUCUCAUAGAGAACCUUAUCUAUGAAUUAGGUAAAAAGGAAUGCCUUUGCCCUCUUAACCAUUAUUAAAGCUAGCGAAGCAUAAGAAGAGUCCACGUCUUUCCCCCACAAGAAAGCUAAAAGUUAGCUCAAAAGCCUCAUAAGUCUCCUAGGAGAACUUUUGUUUGGCAGCAUUUUUAAAAGUAGGUUUUUUCAGCUUAUUAUCAAUGAAUUGAGGCUUAAUGCAACACUUUUCAGAGUAAUUUUUUUUUUUCAAUUGAUUCUCAUAACACUUAACAAAAAAAAGCCUAAAAACAUAUCAUAUUUGUUCUUAAAAAAGAACCAUUUUUCAAAAAAUUAUUGUUGGUAAAAAGUUUGUCAAACACGUUUUUUAAAAUUGGAGUUAGGUUUUCUAUUUUGACAAAAAAUUGUUUUUAAGAAUGGCUUCCAACCACUAAUUUAAUUUAAAAACUUUAAUUGUUGAAUGAUGUACCAACUACAUAUAUUAAGUUGAUUUUUGCUAAAACCCUAACGCUCAGGCAAUCACCAUUUUCUGAACUAAUUUAAUCUAAAAGCUUAAAUUGUUAUAUAAUAAGCCAUAUGUAUCAAGCCUACCCAUGCUAAAAGCCCUAACAACAUCAAACUCAAAACUUGAUGCCAGAGGUCUUCAUACUUCAACAACUUCAGCCUCAUUACUCAACAUACAGGCCACCAUCCUCACAAAGAAAAUGAAACUAAGCAGAACAACAAGCAUAUACAAUUAAUCUACCGCCCAGAUGCUAAGGAUCCAACAGACAUCACUCCAUAGGAUGAUGGGUGUGAGUCAGCUUUGGAGUCCAAUGAGCCCACAAAGAAACCUAAACUUGAAGCAUCAACCUCGGGGAGUGGGUCAAAGCCACUGAGAUAUCUUGUAACCUGCUGCAUAUUGGGCCUAGCCUGUGGCUCUGGGUAAGAGCAGAGGAGGCCAACCUUCAAAACCAAUUCAAUCUCCUUCUUCACAUAUGAAUUGCCAAGCUUUGGAUCUGCAGCUUCAAGUAUAUGACCCCUCUGAUGACACUGUGCCACCCAAUCUUGUAGAAUCAUUUGUUUCCCGGACGAGGCAUUGGGGUCUAGAGGCCUCCUCCCACAUGCCACUUCUAGUAGUACUGCCCCAAAGGCGAAUACAUCGGAGCUUGCGGUGGCCUUUCCAGUGAGGGAGAGCUCCGGUGCUAUGUACCCCACUGUGCCCACCACAUGGGUGGUGCUAGGGUUCUUCCCAUGCUCAUAUAGUUUGGCCAGGCCGAAGUCUCCUAGCCGGGAAUUCAUAUUUGAGUCAAGCAGGACAUUGUUGGCCUUCACAUCCCUAUGGACAACUACCUGUUCCCAUUCUUCAUGUAAAUAUAGGAGGCCUGCAGCAAUCUCCUUGAGGAUCCUGAACCUCUGUCCCCAAUCAAGGUUCUUGUCUUCUUGAAACAGGAAGGUGUCCAGGCUGCCAUUGGACAUAUAAUCAUAAACAAGAAGGAGAUCGCCUUUUCGCUUACACCAACCUUGGAGAUGAACCAAGUGCCUGUGCCUCAGCUUUCCUAGGCUUGCAAUCUCUGCAAUAAACUCCUUCACUCCCUGCUUGGAAUUGUGGGAAAUUCUCUUUACAGCAACUUCUUCUCUAGUCUUUGGCAGCACCCCCUUGUAGACGGAACCGAACACGCCUUUGCCGAGAAUCUGGCUCUCCUUGAAGCCCUUUGUGGCAAUAUAAAGGUCUUUGUAUCUAAACCUAUGGGGGAAGUCCAAUUCCCAAUCUUCCAGGACCUCAGCUAGCCUUGCCCUUCUUAGCAUAUACACAGAAAUAGUGAUUCCACACAGAAGUAACGCAAGGGUCACCAUUGUUGACGCUGCUCCAAUCUCAAUCCCUCUUCUCCUCCCAAGGCCUGGAGAUGGGGUUCCAUUUCUUGGGGGAGAAGGGAUUUUAGAGAGAUCAAGAGGGUCUUCUUCUGUACGACCCAUCUUCAAACUCCACCCCAGAAUGUAAUGAGAGUUAGGAUGCUUCCCAGUGGCAGCUGAGAAGCCAACAUACAUGGACUCUUUAAAGAUAGGGGAUAAGUCCAUGGCUAGGGACAAGAGGGGUUUGCUUGGUUUAGGAAGAGAAGCAGGGGAAAUGGUGACAUUGACGAUUUUUUGAGCUCCAUCAUACUCAAUCCAAGCUUGGAUUGGAUUCCCACUCUCCAAAACCACUUCAUGAGAGGAUUUGGAGGAGUUAUCAUAGUAUGAAGCUGACUUAGAAGCAUUAGACCUAACAGUAUUGAUGUCUAUACCAACAUGGUUAUCAUCGAUAUCUCCAUACAUAACCAGGGAUUGAACUGUAUCAAACUCAACAGCAAACAAAUGGUUGGAGAAGUUCCCCAUGGUGGCCUCAUUAAAAAGACCAAAAAGAUUACCACGUCCACCGUCUGAAAGGUUCUUGGAGGGAGAAACGGUGAAGACAAAACCAUGCCCACCAGACCCACCAACAUAGCUGGGGACAAUGGCAAAGAUGAAGGUUGUGGCAAAGGAGGAAGCUGUGGUGGGGUGUUGGGAAUCAUGGCUGUUCUUGUUGAGAAAGUGAAAUGGGGUGUUGUAGAAGGCAUGGCCAGUGAGGUUGGGUGAUGAGUUUGUAAGCCUGAGAGCCCCAUUUGGCGUGGUGAGGGAUGCCCCACCAAGGCUUAAGUUGGAUGCAGAAGCUUUGAAGCCAUUGAAGAUGAAGCCAUAAUCAGACUGAGAGUAAGCUUGAUUAAGGAGGAGCAGAGAGAAGAGGGGAAAGAGGAGAGGUUUUGCCAUUUUAGAUGGUUUUUCUCAAGGGUAGAAGACAGAUUUGUAGGCAAAUGUGAGAGGCAUACACGUCGUCUUCAGUUUCCUGUAGAGUUGUGGACAAAUGUCCAUCUCUUCGUACCAUUUUUAAAUCAAUAGACCCACUUUAAUUUAAUUUGCUUAGGUUGCUAGGGUUAAAGUGGCCAAUUUGUAAGGAAAAGCAAAAUUUCUAGAAGAAAAAAGAUGUUCUUUGAUUCAAAAUUUUCAAAUAACAUGCAUUUGUGUUGAUGGUGUGAAAUUAGCCUCUGAGAAUUUGUGCAGAGAUGAUGAUAUGCAUGCAGAAUAUUUUUGUGCAAGAGAAAAGAUUUAUUUCAUGUUUGUUUGAAGAAGGGGCUACAGAUUCAGAUUUUAGAACCUGUCUAAUCAUAAUUUUGAAAAUAGAUUUUAAAAAUAAAAUUUUAAAAUUAAUUUAUAAAAAUAGUUGUUAAUCAUUUUAAAAAAUAAGAGUGUUUGAUAUUAUGAUUUAAAUACAAUUUUUUGUUUAACAAAAAUCUAUUUUUAAAUAUUUGACCGUUAUUUUCUGAAAACAAUUUUUAAAAGUAAAAUAAAAUAAAGAAUAAUUUUUAGAUAACAAAAUAGUUGAUCAUGUCUUUUUAAAAACAAAAAAAAAAAAAAAUGGGCAUGUUUCAUCAUAUUUUUUUAAACUUGAUUUUAAAAACUAUUUUUAAUUCAAAUAAUUUUCUUUUUUUUAAAAAAAAGAACAACUUUAAAAAAAUAUAACUAAACAACCCCAAAAUUCCUUUUAAGAGCUUAUUUAUAAGAAAUAAAUUUUUUUAAAUUAUUUUCAGUGAAAUCAUAGUGCAUAUAACGCAAGAACUGUACUUUCAAUUAUCUUAUAUAACAUAUUAAAAAAACAUUAAUAUUUUAAGUAUGUUCUCAAAAAUCACCUUAUUUUCACAAAUAGAUGGCAAAAAAAAUAUUUUUAGUUCAAAAUUUAUCAAAUAUUUAUUGAAAGUUGGAAAAUUGUUUCCAAAACAAUUUUUAAAACUAAUUUUCCAAAGUUUGGAAUUCUUCUUUUACAUAGACAUAUAAAAUAGAAAUAUUAUUGAAAUUAUAAUCCAACCUAAAAUUAAAUUAGAAGAAUCUUAAAAUUCUGAAAAAAAAAAAAAAAGGAAUUAUUAUUUAUUUAGCUUUCUUAUGUGUCGACCCGUAUUUUGCUAUCUAUGUUCUCAUGCAACUUGUUUUUCUAUUUGGUGAAAAUUUGAUUUUUUGAAAAAGACUUGGAAUUACAACUUCUUUAUUUGGAAAAAAGAUGUCAGCAAAAUCCAAAUCUGAAUCCGGGGUCAAGUUACUUAUUAGGAAGGUACGGUGGUGAGUCGUAGCACCCUCAAAGCCCCCAUAUACAUACGGUCUUUACUAAACAAAUUAAAAGAAUUGUGAUAAUUAAUUAAUUAAUCAUGGUAUAGACCCCCUCAGCUGGGGGCAUUGGCUGGUUUUUAUUUUUAUUCAUUUUUUUUUCUUUUCUUCUUCUUUUCUGCUUUCUUUAUCCACCCGAGGACGGCUGGAAGUGAAAGGAGGGAAAAUGAGUUAUCCUUAGGCUGCUGUAAGGGACAGGGGGCGAACAGUAUUUGAGCAGCUGAAGAGGACGAGAAGUAGGCGGGAAAAAAGGAAGAGAGCUGGGCGGGGGGAUUUGAGUGGGAGUGGUAUGUUUGGAGGGAGAGGAAUAUAGCUAGACGGUUUUCAUUAGUUUCAUGGGCAUUAGAGGUGGAUUUUAAGGCGUCUGAAGCUGAACAGGGCUUUAGGGGAGAAGGGUAUUCUCAGGUAUGUAUGAAUGUAACAGGUUCAUUGAUACGUUCUUCCUGCAAAAUGACCAGUUAGCACAAGGGCACUCUUCGAGCGAGUGUCAGCUCCAAUAUCUCCAGAACGAAGAAGGGAGAAAACAGAGAAAAGGUUGAGCAGAAAAAGGAAGAAUAAGGAAAAGAGAGAAAGUUCAGAUCCAAAAUCUCAUAGCCUCCAUCAUGCAGACCUCUCCCGAGAGUUUUAUGCCUUCUCUUGGGAAAAUCAAAACCAAAGCGACACAACCGUCUAACAGAAUUGGUUACAACCAGAAAUAGUAAAUUGCAGGAAAAAAAUAAAAAAAUAAAAAAACAAACCAAAAGAUAAAACCAGAGCUUCACGUCCCUUUCCUUACACGACGUAGUCGUUCAUCCAAAUUGGUGGUUUUCUGGGCCUGCGUGGGCCUGAGUUGGACUGGGCCUUGGAAUGCUUGGUGACUAGCUAAGUGGCAGCAUUGGGCUCUUCCAUGGGAGGUACUUUAGGUGUAUUGGGCUCUUCCACAACGGAUGCUUCAGUUGUCUGUACAUGUUGCUGUAAAGGAAUUGCCACGAAUGUAUCAUUCCCCACUCCAUGAAAAUCGACCUUGUCCUCAAGGUGGUAAUCAGGGUAAAGUCUGCAGAAUGCGACAAAAUCUUCCCAGGUUGCGUUCUCAGGGUCACUGGCGGUCCACUGCACCAGAAUUUGUUGGACUUCUUUUCCCUGUCGGAGAAUCGUUCGAACAGCACAAACAGCUGCUAGUACUAAUAGAGGAUGGAUGCCCAUAGUUUCGGUCGGGAGUGGAUAGACUUCUUCAGGAACGGGUCCUCGAAAAGGCUUAAAGGCAGAUAUGUGAAACAUGGGAUGGAUCUUGCAGCCACUGGGUAAUGCUAAACGAUAAGCGACGGCCCCAAUCCGCUCAAGCACUUGGUACGGUCCAUAAUACCGUUUGGCCAAUUUUUGGUAGGGACGAUGAGCUGCGGUAGUUUGCCGAUACGGUUGUAAGCGAACAAGAACCAUAUCUCCUACUUCAAGCUGCAGGUCGCGCCGAUGUGCAUUGGAUUUUUGCGUCAUCCGGUGUUGAGCUUGACGUAGAUUCUCCUUCAAGGUACGGAGCAAGGCAUCGCGCUCCACAAGUGCCUCAUCGAGGGCUUGGAUUGAAGUAGAGCCCUGGGUAUAAGCCGGAAUGAUCGGAGGGGGACGUCCGAAUAAGGCCUUAAAAGGAGUCAUUUUUAGUCCACUAUGAUAACUGGAAUUAUAACAAAAUUCAGCCCAUCCGAGAAAAGAGAUCCACGAGUGUGGCUUCUCAUUCGUGAAUGCACGUAAGUACUGCUCUAGUCCCCGAUUGACGACUUCGGACUGCCCGUCCGUUUGUGGGUGGUAAGUCGUACUAUGGCGCAAGGAUGUCCCGCUAAGCUGAAAGAGUGUCUGCCAAAAUUUACUCAUGAAGACAGGGUCGCGAUCGGAUAUGAUCGAACUCGGAAACCCAUGAAUCUUGACCACAAUUGUCGCAAAAACUUCCCCUGAUUUGGCGGCUGUGAACUGAGUUGGCAAAGCCUCGAAGUGCGCUGACUUGGUGAGACGGUCGACCACCACCAUGAUAACUGUAAAAUUGCAGGAAGGGGGUAGGUUGGUAAUGAAGUCCAUGGUGACUUCGUCUCAUACCAACGAAGGAACUGGGAGUGGCUGGAGGAGUCCAGCUAGUGCUUGGGUUGAAUACUUCGUCUGUUGACAAACUAAGCAUGCUGAAACAUAUUGCUCCACAUUUGCCCGCAUGCGUGGCCAAUAAAAAAAAAGUAGCCAAGCGAACCAAGGUACGUUUUACUCCACCAUGACCCGCGAAUGGGGUAGCAUGAAACUCGUGCAACAGUAGGGCCUUUAAGGAAGAGUUGGGGCUGAUGUAGUAUCUAUGCUUGAAGAACAACAAGCCAUCAUGAAGGGAAUAGUCCGAAGAGAGGGAACCCGUCGUGAACUGUUGAUGAAGGGAGACUAAGUCCGGGAAUGUAGAGUUUUCCUAACGAAGGGUGGUCAAAAACUCUAAGGAGGGGUGGCUCGAGAACGACAGACAUGAAGGCGCGGAUAGCGCAGGCUGUUCCAAUUCCUCUUCAUGGACCCGAGACAAAGCGUCCGCAGCUUGAUUAGCACGCCCCGGCUUAUAUUCGAUUCGAAAAUGGUAGCCCAACAACUUCCGGAUAUAAAUCUGUUGAUCUGGAGUUUGUACCACCUGCUACAAUAAUUCUUUCAUGCUUUUGUGAUCCGUUCGGAUAAUGAAAAACCUGCCCAAUAGGUAUUGGCGCCAUUUGUGUACUGCCUCAGCAAUGGCGUGAAGUUCCUUGAGGUAUGUUGAUGAAGCUUGUAGGCGCGGACCCAAUUUCUUGCUGAAAUAAGAGAUUGGGUGACCUGCUUGCAUGAGAACGGCGCCUAUUCCCACAUUAGACGCGUCAGUUUCGAUCACGAAGGUCUCAUUGAAAUCUGGCAACCGUAAAACUGGCGCUGCAACCAUUGCACUUUUCAGGGCAUCAAAAGCCACGGUAACCUCCGGAGUCCAAUUAAAAGCGUCUUUGCGUAACAAAUCCGUGAGCGGAGCCGCGAUUGAAGCAUAACUGUGAAUGAACCACCGAUAAUAGCCAGUGAGGCCGAGGAAAACUCGGAGGUGCUUCAAGGUGCAGGGUAUGGGCCACUUCAUCAUGGCAUCGAGUUUUUGCGGAUCGGCACGUACCCCGCCAGCAGAAACUAUGUGUCCCAGAUACUCAAUUGUCUCCUGGCAAAAGUGGCAUUUGGAGAGCUUGACGUAAAAACUACCCUUGUGAAGGCAAGUCAAAACCUGCUCCAGAUGAGUAACAUGCUUAGAAAUAAUAGUGUUGUAAACCAGAAUAUCGUAAAAAAAAAAAACGAUUACAAACUUGCGCAAGAAUGCAGCAAACAACUGGUUCAUUGUGGCUUGAAAAGUGGAUGGGGCAUUCAACAGCCCAAAAGGCAUGACAAGAAAUUCGUAGUGGCCCUCAUGAGUCCGAAACGCUGUUUUAUAGACGUCCCUAUUAUGUACCCUGAUUUGGUGGUAACCAGCCCGGAGGUCCAGUUUGCUAAAAAUAGUAGCGCCUCCUAAUUCGUCCAAAAGCUCGUCAAUGGUUGGAAUCGGGAAUUUAUCUUUGAUCGUUACUGCAUUGAGAGCGCGGUAAUCGACACAAAAGCGAUAGGUACCGUCCUUUUUUUUUUAACCAAUAACACCGGAGAGGAGAAAGGACUUUGACUUGGCCAAAUUAUACCUUGAUCAAGCAUCUCUCGAAUUAAUUUUUCCAUCUCAUUUUUUUUGGAAGUGUGGAUAUCGAUAAGGACAAACAUUCACUGGCUUUGAAUUAGGAAUGAGAUGGAUCUUGUGGUCAAUGGUGCAGUGCGGGGGAAGGCCUGUUGGCGGAAGGAACAGGUCACGAAAUUUCUGCAAAGUAGUAGAGAUUGCCACGAGCAAGGUAUUGGGAAAAAUAAGUGUAUUCUCUUUGGUAACCAAAGAGGCAGUUUUCAACUCUUCUGUCGCUAGUGGCUGCAAGACAAACAUGCUGUGGACAUUUGAACUGUGGAUCAGUGCCUGAAAUUGAUUAAAAGAAAUCAAGAUAGAGGACUGGUGCAAAUCCCCAUGGAGAAUGAUCGGACGCCCUUCCCAACAAAACUCCAUUGACAGGGCUGUAUAAUCAUGGGCAACACGACCCAAUUAUUGCAGCCAUUGAAUACCAAGAACGACAUCAGGUCCUUCAAUUGGCAGGAUAAAAAGAUUUAAGGGAAACACAUUCCCUUGCAACAUCAAAGCAACUUGGGGGCAAGUGUGCUGGCAAAUUAAAUAAUCUCCAUUGCCAAUGUAAACUCGAAAUUUAGGUGUUGGCUGAAUAGGGAGGCCCAAACGCUCCACCAGAGCCGGUUUAAUAAAAUUGUGAGUACUACCACUGUCGAUGAGCACAUGGAAGCGAUGAGACCCAAACUCACCAACUAAACGAAGGGAGCGGGGAUUACCUUGGCCUGCCAAGGCAUUGAGGCUGGAAAUGUCGCUCGUGACCAAGUCCUCGGCUGGUUCGGUUGCCACGCCAUCAUCAUCUGUAUCCUCAUCAAUAUCAUCCGUCCCUAAAAGAAGCAAAAAUUUGUUGCGACAACGAUGAUUAGCAGAAUAUUUUUUGUCACAAUUAUAGCAUAAUCCCUUUUCGCGCUUCUCUCGUAACUCAUUAGGGGUGAGGCGACGAAUAGGUAAAGCAGGGGCCGGAGCUAUGGGUGGUGUUUGCUUAUGCCCGACCGUUGUCGGUGGUGAGGCCGAAGCGGGGGUGGCUGUCUGAAACGGGCCCGUCGGAACGGUCGUUACAGCAUGUUGUCUAGUGGAACUCUCCGUGGACGUGUUGGCAGCAUUGGAAGAGGACCACUUAUGCCAAGGGCGAGCGCUCUACUUGAUCUCCUCACAGCGAGUUUCAUAGGCUCGAGCUAAGGCAAAAGCCUCCAUCAACGUGGACGGCCGUGAGAAAAGUAGCUCACGACGAAUAUCCGAUUUCAAGCCGGUAAUGAAAAAACUAAUCAACAACGGCUCAAAAAUUCCCAUGACUUUAUUCAUCAGGUCCUCGAAGGCCGAUUGAAAUUCCGCCACAAUCGAAGUCUGAGUAAGCUUAGAGAGAUUACCUUGAUGGUCUUCAUAGAGGGAAGCUCUGAAACGGUGCUUCAGACUGAGUAAAAAUGCCUUCCACGAAGACAACAGAUUAUUGGCCUUCAUCCAUUGAUACCAACCUGCUACCGGACCUUCCAUAUGGAAGGAGACAAUCCGCAGCCGGAGCGGCUCAGGUAUUCCAUGAAAAUAAAAAAAUUCCUCAACGCGAAAUACCCACCCGUGUGGAUCGGUUCCGUUAAACUUCGGAAUCUUCAUUUUCAUAAAACGUAAGGCAGUGGCUAACUCAUUAUCUCCAGCACCCAUCUCAGUAACAGGCGGCGGGCCGGUGGAGGACCCAGAAGACCCGCAGACGAUCCCGACGAUCCAUGAAACUGAGAACGGAACUCCUCCAGUCGCGAAUCCACAGUAGACAUAUAUUGUUGGAGUAUUUGAUGAAACGACAUCGUUUGGCUCUCAAAUUGAGCUUCAAAUUGAUCCUGCAAAGCCUUAACCGCUAAAAGCACAUCCAAGUCCGCCAUCAAAGGAGUCGAUGAAAGCACCAAUUGAUACGUUCUUCCUGCAAAAUGACCGGUUAGCACAAGGGCACUCUUCGAGCGAGUGUCAGCUCCAAUAUCUCCAGAACGAAGAAGGGAGAAAACAGAGAAAAGGUUGAGCAGAAAAAGGAAGAAUAAGGAAAAGAGAGAAAGUUCAGAUCUAAAAUCUCAUAGCCUCCAUCAUGCAGACCUCUCCCGAGAGUUUUAUGCCUUCUCUUGGGAAAAUCAAAACCAAAGCGACACAACCGUCUAACAGAAUUGGUUACAACCAGAAAUAGUAAAUUGCAGGAAAAAAAUAAAAAAAUAAAAAAACAAACCAAAAGAUAAAACCGGAGCUUCACGUCCCUUUCCUUACACGACGUAGUCGUUCAUCCAAGUUGGUGGUUUUCUGGGCCUGCGUGGGCCUGAGUUGGACUGGGCCUUGGAAUGCUUGGUGACUAGCUGAGUGGCAGCAUUGGGCUCUUCCGUGGGAGGUACUUUAGGUGUAUUGGGCUCUUCCACAACGGAUGCUUCAGUUGUCUGUACAUGUUGCUGUAAAGGGAUGGCCACGAAUGUAUCAUUCAUUGUUAGAUUUAGAUCCUUGCUAUCCCUCUGCAUUUUUUUUCUUGUUGAUAUUUUGGAUAUUUGUUGUUUUGCUUGGGGUGGAUUGUUGCUUGUUGAGAUAUAACCUUGAAUUCAUGUUUGUCAUCAUCCAUCUUAAUAUGCUCUGUUUCUAUUGUGAUUGCGGAAUGCUCGAGAAACCCCUCCAAUAUUUACACUUGAUGUUGUUUUUCUCACCUAAUGAGAAGAUUCACUGAUGAUUCAUGAUGUGAAGCUUCCUUUGAGAACCUUACUAUUUGUUUUCUGCUGUGCUCUGUUCCAUGUUUUUUUCUUCUUUGUUUUAGCUACUCUUUGUCCUUGGACCGUGUUCAAUGCAUAGAUGGUGGGAGAGGAGCAACUCUUGGUUUGAGGAAAGCUUCCUAGAAAAACGGGCAGAGAAAACUUUUCGGGGAUGGUCCGAAAUAGAGAAGAAAGAAGAAAUGAGUUUUUCUGGCGCUUAAGAGGAUUCCGAAAAUUUUUCGAAGUUGGUUGGUGCUAGUGCUGACUGGUGCUGGCUGGUGUUGGCUGGUGUUGGCUGCUGGCUGCCGCCGCGGGGAGGUGGUGAUCGUGCUGAAGCCAGGCGGGAAGGGAAGCUAGGAAGAAGAUGAAGAUUUGGUUUGGGCUUGAGAUAAGGCACUAGGCCCAAUUUUGUGUUGGUUUUGGCUUUGGGCUUGGGUUUGAAUUCGGAGCCCAGACCCAAGCCUAUGCUGAAGAUGAAGCCCAAAGCCCCAUUAUUAUUAUUAUUAUUAUUAUGCUAGUUUGGGCUUGGGUUUGGGCUUAUGGACUUGGGUUUAUGAUAUUAUCACUAUUAUCAUUAUUAUUAUUAUUACUAUUAUUAUUAUUAUUACCAUAGACAUUAUUAUUAUUAAUUCAAUUUUCCAAAUCUUAUUAUUAUUAUUGUUAUUAUUGUUAUUGUGAUUGUCAUUAUUGUCAUUGAAAAUCUAUAUUCUCGCAGUUUAAUCUCCUAAAGUUCAUCUCUUAUUAUUAUUAUUUCAAACUCUCAAAAUCUUAUUAUUAUUAUUAUUAUUAAUUCAAACUUUCAAAAUCUUAUUAUUAUUAUUAUUAUUAUUAUUAUUAUUAUUAUUAUUAUUAUUAUUUCAAACUCUCAAAAUCUUAUUAUUAUUAUUAUUAUUAAUUCAAAUUUUCAAAAUCUUAUUGUUAUUAUUAUUAAUUCAAACUUUCAAAACCUUAUUAUUAUUAUUAUCAUUAAUUAGAACUCUCGAAAUCUUAUUAUUAUUAUUAUUAUUAUUAUUAAUUCAAACUUUCAAAAUCUUAUCAUUAUUAUUAUUAAUUCAAACUUUCGAAAUCUUAUUAUUAUUAUUAUUAUUAAUUCAUACUUUCAAAACCUUAUUAUUAUUAUUAUUACUAUUAAUUCAAAUUUUCGAAAUCUUAUUGUUAUUAUUAUUAUUAUUAUUAUCAUUAAUUUAAACUUUCAAAAUCUUAUUAUUACUAUUAUUACAAAUUCAACUUUCAAAAGUCUAUGGUCUCGCAGUUCAAUUUCAUAAAGUUCGUUUCUCAUUUUCUUUAACAAAUUUCAAUUUAAUUACCGGAGCUCUAAUAUUUUAAAUUUAAUUCCAAAUACUCAAAUUUUCAAAUAAGCUCCAAAGAAUCCAAUUUUCACUCAAACAGUUUUAAUUCUACUUCGGCUCUCAAAUAAACCUUUUGUUUUUCUUGGUUCUACAUAAGCAUGAAUGGAAUUUGUGAGACUAAUUCGUGCAAGAUAGAUCGAGCUUUGGUGGGAGCCCGACACAUAUGAUUUUAUGAUCGAUUGAUUGAUUGACUGAUUUAAUUGUCAUGCGUGAUUGAUUUGUUCUGCUUUGUGAUAUGUAUAUAUUCAUCCCAUAUAGAUUUACUAACCCCCCUCUUGAUAGCGCAUAUUGGUUCGCCACCUAGGUAUGUAUUUUCUCGCAUCAUGGUCACUCCUUGUGCUUGUUUUAAUUCUCAUACGUGCAUGAUCGAUUCGAGUAUUCAUUGUUUUUCUCAUCAAUUGUCACAUCAGCUUCAUUUUAUUAGUAGAGACCCGACUUUAGGGACUUAGAGGGGUGCUAUGGUCUUUACCGUACCUUCCCGAUAAGUAACCUGACCCCCGAGCCCGAUCCGGUUUUUCGUAAGAUCACCUUUUCCAAAAUAAGGAGUCGCACUUAGGGUUUUCUUUCUUAUUUUGUUUACCCUUUUAAAAAUAAAACAAAAAUAAGUGGCGACUCCAAGUCAUUUUCAAAUAAUCAAUAAAAAAUCAAUUUUUCAAAUAAAAAUCGAGCUCACCAUCGAGUGGAAAACGCAUGAACCAAAAUGCGGGGUCCACACAUGGAUACAAAGAUUAAAAGAAUAAAACAAUAUUCACAAAAAUGAUGACAAAAUAAAACUACAAUAAUGUUCAAAACAAAUGACAAUAAAAUUAUACAAAUUGAUUUAUUGAACUAAUUAGAAAAAAUGAUAUUUGAAAGAAUUAGUUUUCCAAAAAUUUCAAAUUUAUUAAGAACAAUUUUGAAUUAGUGAUUUCAAUUUAUUUAUUUACAAAAAAAAAUUAAUUUAUUUUCGAUUAAUGAUUUGACUCGAUUUUAUUUGUAUUUAAUUUUCAAAAAAAGUUAUUUACACUUAUUGUAUCAAAAAAAUUUAUAACAAAAUUUAAAUUUGGUAACAAAAUUAAUUUUACUUACUUUUAUCAUAAAGGAAUGAAUUUUCACAUUUUUAUUUAUAAAAGUAUUUUGAUUCAUUUUCAUUUAAAAAAAAUGAUUUAUACAAAUUAUUAAAAAAAAAACACACAACUUUAUUUGCAAAAGAAUUUUUAAUUAAAAAUGAAUUUUUGGGACAACUUUAUUUACAAAACAAUUUUUAGACAAUUUUUAUUAAAUAAAGAAAUUUUUGGAUAAUUAUUAUAAAAAACAAUUUUUCAAAUUCUAUUAAAUUUUUUUUUUUGGAUUUUUCUAAAAGCAUUUUUCUAAAUUUUUUAACAAAAAAAACUUUCAUUUAUUAAGAAGAAUAUUUUAAAAUUUUUAUUUUACUAGAUUAUUCCUCUUAUUUAACCAGAAUUUUUUAUUUGUUCAAUAUUCAAUUCCGUGCACACUUAAUAAAUAUAUAUAAACGAACUAAUAAAAAUAAAACCAAAUAUUUACUACAUUGUUCCUCUUAUUUAACCAAAAUUUUUUAUUUAUUCAAUAUUCAAUAUUCAAUUCUGUGCACACUUAAUAAAUAUAUAUAAACGAACUAAUAAAAAUAAAACCAAAUAAAAGUGAAAAAUAACAAAUGUAAUCAAAUAAACUUACAAUAAGUUCAAUGUUUUUCUACAACUUUUCGAGUCUCACUUUCUUCCAGGAAAUCUUAUACUCCACACGAUCAUAAAUUCGUACUCAGUCAACAAAAUUGUAAAAUGGGUUUAUGCAAAAACAAAAAUAGUUCAAAUAUAAAUAUAUAGGAAUAUACAAAAUUCAAAACAAAUAUUCAAACUCAAAUUCAAACUUCAAAUUAGUUCAACAAAUUAAUUAAUCAAAAUGAGCUUAAAUUAAUAAAUAUAACCCAACAGAAAUAUUCAUAUCCCAAUAGCCUUAUUCCAAAAUUUUCAAGCUAAAAUACAAGCAUAAUUAGUCACACCCAAAAUAUUACAACACAAAAUAAAUUCAAUUCCACUUAAAUUUAAUAUCCCAUUAUCCAACCAUAAUUUAAUAAACAAACUCAAAUUCAAAACCAAAAUUAAACCCAAUUUAUGCUAACCGAAUUCACGAUCAAAACCAAAUCCAAUUCAACCAAUUCAAUAAACAAAUAACUAAAUAAAAUAAAAUUACCUUUCGUUUGAAACCGUGCAAUGGGUUUGGGUGUUGUGGGUUGUAGGGUAGAGAGAAACAAAGAAAAAUGGAGAAAAGAGAGAGAGAGAGAGAGAGAGAGAGAGAAAUGGUGGAGCGGUAGAAAUGGGUUUUGGGUGGGGAAAAUAGAAAAAGGAAGAGGAAUGAAGAAGAAGAGGGGAACCAGAUAUUGGAAGGGGGGAAAGGGUGUCGUAUGGGUGGAUGGGUGGGGAAAAUAGAAAAAGGAAGAGGAAUGAAAAAAUGGAAGAAAGAAAAUGGGGGCGGUCGGUGUGUGCGUGUUGGGAGUUGUGGAGUGUGUGUGUUUGGGGAGAAGAAAAAUGGAGAAAAGAUUGGAAAAAAAAAAAAAAAAAAGAGGAGCUGGAGUCGGUGGUCUGAGAAGUGGGGGAGGAGAGAGAAUGGGGAAGUGGGUGGAGUGGUAUAUCGAGAUUUGAAAAAUCUGUGGCAUUUUCUUGUAUUUUUGUGGCAUUCAUGAUCAAGAUGGAUCUAAACCAUUCAAGUGCCGUGUGCACAACUCCACCCAAAUACCGGCCAUUGAAGGCAACAUCUUCCUCCACUUGACGGGAGAAGUCAUAAACAUCUAGGAAAAAAAAAUCAAUGAUGUCAAUUCAUUUUCAUACAUUUCAUUUUUCAUUGACUCUCAUGCCUUCAUACUCAAAUCUUAUUACUCGGUCUUUAACUCAUAUAUUAUCCAUCUAAUUCAUAUAUGAUCGUAUUAUUUCAUACAUUAAUUUAAUUUUAUAUAUUUAUAAUUUCGUUUAACAAUUCAAAUUUCAUCGUAAAUGUCACGGGUAUAAAUUCAAAUUUUCAUUAUUAUAAAGUUUUCAUUUAAAUUUUUUUCAGGUGUCCUUUCUUCGGAAGGGCAAGAUCCUACUCCUACCCCAACCCAAAGAAGGUGGCAAAUUUACACCUCAACUUUCUUUGAAUCUUCUUCUCAACUAUAUCCUUUAAAAGAGUGGAACGUUUGUGUUCCUUAUGAAAGGGGCUUGUUCCGUGGCAGUACUAAGCCUCUCAGGAGUCUUUUCUGAUUUGGACGGACCAACCUUCACAGAAAUUAAAUGGUUGGGAGUUGGGAGUUGGGAAUUGGGAUGGACCUAUUCUAAAGUCCAAGUCUCCAGGAGACUAGGACUUGGGUUGGGACUUCAGAUUUUUAUUUUUGAAGUGUUGGAGACUUUUAGCAUGUAGGGUGGUUUGUUGGAGGUAGUUAAUUUUUUCUUUUUCCUCUUCCAUCUUUAGUAGGGAGAAGAAAUAUGUGUAGAAGGAUGUCAUUGAAUUUAUAUUUGAUAAUUAUGUUUUAAAAUGAAUUUUUUUCAAUUUAUAAGUAUAUAUAUUUUAAAAUUUUAAUUAAAUAGCAAUUUACUUUCAAUAGGGGCGGAGCCAAUACUGGCUCCGGGCGCACUGCCUCCCCUCAAAUUUUAUAAAUAAAAAAUUUCCUUUGCUAAUAUAGGAAUUUUAGAAAGUUAAAAAAAAAUAAAUAGAAAAGCAAGUUUGCCCCUUCUAAAAAACUAAUUUUAUACUUGAAAAAAGAAAAUAAAUGGAAUAAAAAAAAUAGAGAAUCAUCAAUAUUAAAUAGAUUUUAUAAAAUAUUUGUUUGUUUGUAUUUUUAAAUUUAUUUAAUGUUAAUAAAAUUAAAUUUAUUUAAAUCCUAAUAUAUACAAAAUAAAUGGAACAAAAUGAAUUUUUAUAAUUUUAUAUUUGAUAUUAUAUAUAUAUAUAUAUAUAUAUAUAUAUAUAUAUAUAUAUAUAUAUAUAUAUAUAUAUAUAUAUAUAUAUAUAUAUAUAUAUUUUUGGUUAUAGGCUAUAUUUUGUUUAAUUUUGAAAUUUUUUUAAUGUUUAUAGUCUAUUUGAUUGUCAGUUUUCUAUUUUCAAAUAUAAAAAGUUGUUUUAUCAUUAUUAUUUGAAAACAAUUUUUAAAAAUAAAGUGAAAUAGAAAACAAUUUUUAGAAAAUAAGUAGAAUUUGUUUUUAUCAGUUUUUAAAAACUAAAGGAAAAUAUGAGUCUAUUUGACCAUGUUUUCUGUAAUUUGUUUUUAAUAAUUGUUUUUCAUUCUUUUAACUUAAAAGUGGUUUUUAAAAAUAAAUUUUAGAAAACAUAAUCAGUCAGACUUUUAGGUUUAAUCAAGUAGUUAUUAAUUCAUAAAUAUGUACACAAUUAUUCAAAUAUAUGUUACUUCAUUGUUGAUGAAAUUUAAUUUUGUUUCAAUAUUUGAUAUUUUAUUAAACAUAUAUUUUUAUUGUUAGGUUAUUUUUAGUUUAAUUUAAAGAUUUUUAUACAUGUUUAGAUUUUAGGUUAAAUAAAACAUUUAUUAAUUUAGAGUUGAUUACCUAAAUUUUAAUAAUGACAUUAUAAUUACAUUAUAGAUAACUUUUAAAUAAAAAAUUUAUCAUUUUAAAAAAUCCAAAAAAAAGUAUUAGUUAAAUUAUUAAUUUUUUCCAAAAUUUCUCUAGCAAAAUAUUUCUAAAAAUUUUGGUCAAAUUUCUUACUAACUUAAAAAAAAAAAAAAUUCACAAACACUAUUUGAAUUUUUUUGAUAAACUUUUAAUAAAAUCUAAGACUCUUUUUUCAAUGUUUUUAGUAUUUUUGUUAUUUAAUUUUUCAUAUUAUAAAUUCCUCUUUUCUUUUAUUGAAUCAUACCGAUGUUACCAUUUUUAAAAUAUGAAAAUUUAUUUAUAAUUAUUAUAAUAUUCAAAUUUUUUAUUCCCCUCACACCAAAAUUUCUGGCUCUACAACUACUUUCAAUAUAUCAUAUGAUGAAAAAUAUAGGCAAUGUUUGAGAAUUGUUUUCAAGAAUAGUUUUUUAGUUUGUAUAUAUAUAUAUAUAUAUAUGUGUGUGUGUGUAAAUGUAAAUAGUUCCCAAAAUAAAUUUUUGAGAAAAAAUGGAAAUUAUAUUUGCAUCCACCAAAUUGAUAUUUGUAUCUAUUCUAUUUACACAUCAACUUAUGAUUUUAAACAUUUUGCAAAAUAGGCUCACAAAUUCCUUCAUGCCCUCAUACAAAAAAGGGUAUAGGUACAUAGCUAAAUCAUCUCAAAAAAACAAUUCUAUGGUAACCCUAUUAAAGUGAGUGAUGAACUAAUUGUAAGGAGAAUUCUUAGAUGUUGAUAUUGUUGUCAACAAUAUUGACACAAUUAUGUUUAUGUCUAGGAUGUAAUGGAAUUUGUCGUUUAAAUGUUUUUAUAUUAUGCUCAUAAUAACCACAUUUAUCACAACAUUAUGUGCGUUUAACCUUUUCAUCUGAACAAAUUCUUUCAUUUUUUUAUCUUCUUACUAAUUGCUGGCUUUUAGGUGGUAAUACAACUCUAUAACAAAUGUAUUUAGGAAUUACCCAAUCUUUGUUAUUUCUAGUAGAAUAUAUAGAUUUUGAAUAUGAAGAUAUAAGUGAGUUCAUAUAGUAUUGAGAGCACAUAAUAUAACACGACUUCUUUCCGUAUCUACAUGUAGCAAUCAUAUGUGUACAUGAAAUAUGGUCAAGAUCAAACAUCCUACAUGUGCAUUAACGGGUCUACAAAUUAACUUGAUCACUUAUCCCAAUAUAUUUGACAUUGAACUCCCAAAAGUUGAUAGAGUCAACAUCAUAACUUGAUAAUUUAUUAAACCUUAAGUACAACUUGAGGUUAACCCAUGUGGUAAAGCUUAAUUUUCAUUGACAAUGUUUGUUGUUGGCGUUUUAAAAACCAUCUUUGAAGUAAGUUUCUCAACUCUUCGACCAUUCUCAUAACUGAAAGAUCUCUUGCAUCUUUUAAUGCAACAUUCAUGCACUCAACAAUCUUGUAGUUAUGAUAUUAUAUUUGUUUCCAUUAUUAUGUGACCGAGCCUAUUGCUUAAUUCCUACAUCCGCUAAAUAAAUGGUUGCUCUAAUUUUCCAUGCAUGUGAUUUAUUACUUAUUAUUAUUUGACCUUGUCAUAUGGAUAAAACUUUUCAACUUCUUUUGAAUUAACUUUUCACUUUUUCACAUUUUAAAACUUAUUUUUUAAUAACUAACAAUGAAUAUUUUUUUUUACCAACAAUGGUGAAAUAAGGUUUUAAAUUUCUAGGAAACAAAAAGAAAUAAAAUGAUAAUAUAAAAAAAAAAAAGUUGGUUGCUUACAUUUUUAACAUCUUUCGUGACUAAAAAUAAAGAGCAGAUGAAACAAUAGUGAGAAUUUAGGCUUUUUCUUAGUUGGGACACAAAAAGAAGGAGCAAAUAGAUGAUCAAAUAAAAAAAUAAAAAGCUAAUCUACUAUAAAACGGAGGGAAAGAGAAAAUUAUGUUGAAGGGAAAAAAAAAGGGUAUUUUUUGUCCUAAUUGGAUAAUUUUUUCUACUUUUUGAGGGAUAAAUUAUUCUUUUAAAUAUGAGAGUUAUUUUAAUCCCUUUUAACCAAAUAACCCAAAUUUAAAACGGUUAGAAAAGGUAUUGAGAAGUUGUUUUGAAAGCUUAAAGCUGUGUCAAAAAUGGUCAAUGGGCUUGUACCUCCAACUUUUCCACCUUAGAAAAGCCUUAGGAUUCAGAGAACCUUAUCUAUGAAUUAGGUGAAAAGGAAUGCCUUUCCCCUCUAACCAUUAUUAAAGCUAGCGAAGCAUAAGAAGAGUCCACGUUUUUCCCCCACAAGAAAGCUAAAAGUUAGCUCAAAAGCCUCAUAAGUCUCCUAGGAAAACUUAUUAUCUAUGAAUGGCAGCAUUUUUAAAAAUAGUUUUUUUCAGCUUAUUAUCUAUGAAUGGAGGCUUAAUGCAAAACUUUUCAAGAGUAUUUUGUUAUAUUUUCAAUUGAUUCUCAUAAUACUUAACAAAAAAAAGCCUUAAAACAUAUCAUAUUUGUUCUUAAAAAAUAACCAUUUUUCAAAAAAUUAUUCUUAGUAAAAAGUUUGUCAAACACUUUUUUAAAAUUGGAGUUAGGUUUUCUAUUUUGACAAAAAAAAUUAUUUUCAAAAACUGUUUCCAACCACUAAUUUAAUUUAAAAACUUUAAUUGUUAAAUGAUAUACCAACUACAUAUAUUGAAACCGUGCAAUGGGUUUGGGUGUUGUGGGUUGUAGGGUAGAGAGAAACAAAGAAAAAUGGAGAACAAAAAAAAAAGAGAGAGAAAUGGUGGAGCGGUAGAAAUGGAUUUUGGUGGGGAAAAUAGAAAAAGGAAGAGGAAUGAAGAAGAAGAGGGGAACCAGAUAUUGGAAGGGGGGAAAGGGUGUCUUAUGGGAUGGGUGGGGAAAAUAGAAAAAGGAAGAGGAAUGAAAAAAUGGAAGAAAGAAAAUGGGGGCGGUCGGUGUGUGCGUGUUGGGAGUUGUGGAGUGUGUGUGUUUGGGGAGAAGAAAAAUGGAGAAAAGAUUGGAAAAAAAAAAAAAAAAAAAAAGAGGAGCUGGAGUCGGUGGUCUGAGAAGUGGGGGAGGAGAGAGAAUGGGGAAGUGGGUGGAGUGGUAUAUCGAGAUUUGAAAAAUCUGUGGCAUUUUCUUGUAUUUUUGUGGCAUUCAUGAUCAAGAUGGAUCUAAACCAUUCAAGUGCCGUGUGCACAACUCCACCCAAAUACCGGCCAUUGAAGGCAACAUCUUCCUCCACUUGACGGGAGAAGUCAUAAACAUCUAGGAAAAAAAAAUCAAUGAUGUCAAUUCAUUUUCAUACAUUUCAUUUUUCAUCGACUCUCAUGGCUUCAUACUCAAAUCUUAUAUAUUAUCCAUCUAGUAUUAUUUCAUACAUUAAUUUAAUUUUAUAUAUUUAUAAUUUCGUUUAACAAUUCAAUUUUUUCCUAAAUGUCACGGGUAUAAAUUCAAAUUUUCAUUAUUAUAAAGUUUUCAUUUAAAUUUUUUUCAGGUGUCCUUUCUUCAGAAGGGCAAGAUCCUACUCCUACCCCAACCCAAAGAAGGUGGCAAAUUUACACCUCAACUCUCUUUGAAUCUUCUUCUCAACUAUAUCCUUUUAAAGAGUGGAACGUUUGUGUUCCUUAUUAAAGGGGCUUGUUCCGUGGCAGUCACCUAAGCCUCUCAGGAGUCUUUUCUGAUUUGGACGGACCAACCUUCACAGAAAUUAAAUGGUUGGGAGUUGGGAAUUGGGAUGGACCUAUUCUAAAGUCCAAGUCUCCAGGAGACUAGGACUUGGGUUGGGACUUCAGAUUUUUAUUUUUGAAGUGUUGGAGACUUUUAGCAUGUAGGGUGGUUUGUUGGAGGUAGUUAAUUUUUUCUUUUUCCUCUUCCAUCUUUAGUAGGGAGAAGAAAUAUGUGUAGAAGGAUGUCAUUGAAUUUAUAUUUGAUAAUUAUGUUUUAAAAUGCCUUUUUUCAAUUUAUAAGUAUAUAUAUUUUAAAAUUUUAAUUAAAUAGCAAUUUACUUUCAAUAGGGGCGGAGCCAAUACUGGCUCCGGGCGCACUGCCUCCCCUCAAAUUUUAUAAAUAAAAAAUUUCCUUUGCUAAUAUAGGAAUUUUAGAAAGUUAAAAAAAAAUAAAAAUAGAAAAGCAAGUUUGCCCCUUCUAAAAAACUAAUUUUAUACUUGAAAAAAGAAAAUAAAUGGAAUAAAAAAAAUUAGAGAAUCAUCAAUAUUAAAUAGAUUUUAUAAAAUAUUUGUUUGUUUGUAUUUUUAAUUUUAUUUAAUGUUAAUAAAAUUAAAUUUAUUUAAAUCCUAAUAUAUACAAAAUAAAUGGAACAAACUAUAUAUAUAUGGUUAUAGGCUAUAUUUUGUUUAAUUUUGAAAUUUUUUUAAUGUUUAUAGUCUAUUUGAUUGUCAGUUUUUUGUUUUCAAAUAUAAAAAGUUGUUUUUAAAAAUUUCUAACAUUGUUUUAUCAUUAUUAUUUGAAAAAAAUUUUUAAAAACAAAAUGAAAUAGAAAAAAAAUUUUAGAAAAUAAAUAGGAUUUGUUUUCAUCAAUUUUUAAAAACUAAAGGAAAAUAUGAGUCUAUUUGACCAUGUUUUCUGUAAUUUGUUUUUAAUAAUUGUUUUUCAUUCUUUUAACUUAAAAGUGGUUUUUAAAAAUAAAUUUUAAAAAACAUGAUCAGUCAGACUUUUAGGUUUAAUCAAGUAGUUGUUAAUUCAUGAAUAUGUACACAAUUAUUCAAAUAUAUGUUACUUCAUUGUUGAUGAAAUUUAAUUUUGUUUCAAUAUUUGAUAUUUUAUUAAACAUAUAUUUUUAUUGAUAGGUUAUUUUUAGUUUAAUUUAAAGAUUUUUAUACAUGUUUAGAUUUUUAGGUUAAAUAAAACAUUUAUUAAUUUAGAGUUGAUUACCUAAAUUUUAAUAAUGACAUUAUAAUUACAUUAUAGAUAACUUUUAAAUAAAAAAUUUAUCAUUUUAAAAAAUCCAAAAAGAAAGUAUUAGUUAAAUUAUUAAUUUUUUCCAAAAUUUCUCUAGCAAAAUAUUUCUAAAAAUUUUGGUCAAAUUUCUUACUAACUUUAAAAAAAAAAAAUUCACAAACACUAUUUGAAUUUUUUUGAUAAACUUUUAAUAAAAUCUAAGACUCUUUUUUCAAUGUUUUUAGUAUUUUUGUUAUUUAAUUUUUCAUAUUAUAAAUUCCUCUUUUCUUUUAUUGAAUCAUACCAAUGUUACCAUUUUUAAAAUAUGAAAAUUUAUUUAUAAUUAUUAUAAUAUUCAAAUUUUUUAUUCCCCUCACACCAAAAUUUCUGGCUCUACAACUACUUUCAAUAUAUCAUAUGAUGAAAAAUAUAGGCAAUGUUUGAGAAGAAUAGUUUUUUAGUUUAUCUAUAUAUAUAUAUAUAUAUAUAUAUAUGUGUGUGUGUGUGUGUGUGUGUAAAUGUAAAUAGUUCCCAAAAUAAAUUUUUGAGAAAAAAUGGAAAUUAUAUUUGCAUCCACCAAAUUGAUCUUUAUAUCCAUUCUAUUUACACAUCAACUUAUAAUUUUAAACAUUUUGCAAAAUAGACUCACAAAUUCCUUCAUGCCCUCAUACAAAAAAAGGUAUAGGUACAUAACUAAAUCAUCUCAAAAAAACAAUUCUAUGGUAACACUAUUAAAGUGAGUGAUGAACUAAUUGUAAAGAGAAUUCUUAGAUGUUGAUAUUGUUGUCAACAAUAUUGACACAAUUAUGUUUAUGUCUAGGAUGUAAUGAAAUUGGUCGUUUGAAUGUUUUUCUAUUAUGCUCAUAAUCAUCACAUUUAUCACUACAUUAUGUGCGUUUAACCUUUUCAUCCGAACAAAUUCUUUCAUUUUUUUAUCUUCUUACUAGUUGCUGACUUUUAGGUGAUAAUACAACUCUAUAAAAAAAUGUAUUUUUAGGAAUUACCCAAUCUUUGUUAUUUCUAGUAGAAUAUAUAGAUUUUGAAUAUGAAGAUAUAAGUGAGUUCAUAUAGUAUUGAGAGCACAUAAUAUAGCACGACUUGUUUCCGUACCUACAUGUAGCAAUCGUAUGUGUACAUGAAAUAUGGUCAAGAUCAAACAUCCUACAUGUGCAUUAACGGGUCUGCAAAUUAACUUUAUCACUUAUCCCAACAUAUUUGAUAUUGAACUCCCAAAAGUUGAUAGAGUCAACAUCAUAACUUGAUAAUUUAUUAAACCUUAAGUACAACUUCAAGUUAACCCAUGUGGUAAAGCUUAAUUUUCAUUAACAAUGCUUGUUGUUGGCGAUUUGAAAACCAUCUCUGAAGUAAGUUUCUCAACUCUUUGACCAUUCUUAUAACUGAAAGAUCUCUUACAUCUUUUAAUACAACAUUCAUGCACUCAACAAUUUUGUAGUUAUGAUAUUUAAGAAAACAAAGGUUAUGUUUAGUUAAGAAAAACACCCAAAAGGAGGGGAGGGGAGGGGAGGGGGGGGGGGGGGUGAAUUGGGUUUUUAAAAUCUUUUCAAUCACAACAAAAUUAAACAAAAGAUAAGCAAAGUAAAGAGAUAGAGUUGAGAGAAUUCAAUCUCGGGUUUAUAGUGGUUCGAAAAUUCCUUGCCUACAUCCACUCUCCUCAACCUCCUAACCGAGUGAGGGUUCCACUAACUUGAAGCUUCAACUAAGCUUCCAAUCUUCUUACACUUGGAUUCCGGCUCCAAUGGGCUCUUACACAACCUCUUCAAGAUUCAACCCUCUUGAAGGCUUUAACACUCGGAUUGUUAUAAGAUAUAAUCACUCAACCUAGCUUAAAGAUGACUCAAAUACAAGACAAGGCUAGGAUGAUAAACAAGAGUGCACUAAAGGAUAUGUAAGUGGUGAUUUAAUGCACAAUGAAGGAAAUAAUAGCUUUUUGAUCAAGAACAGGUAGGUAGGCUUUGAAUGCAAUUGUUCUCUUGUCAAUAAAUGAAGUGGAACUCUCAAUUUAUAGGUUUCUAAGCUCGAGAGUCAAAAUCAGCAAAAGGCAACCUCGUCCGAUCGAGAUAGGGGUCGACCGGUUCACUAGUCGUUGGAGCAUUUAAUUCAUGACAGGUUACCAUUGCCUCAAUCAGACCUCGACCGGUAAAUGAAUCACCUCGACCGGGAAGAAAAGGCUACUGGGAGAAAGAGAAGGUUUUUUAACCUUCCUCGACCGGUCCUCGAUCGGACGACCUCAACCGGUCGACCGGUUGAUCCUUUUUAGCCCCGAAAAACCUAUUUUUUGAUUCAUUUCUUUUCUAACACUUAGACAAGGUCUUUAGGUAAAUUAUUAAGCCAAUUUUGAAACAUUUAGCCUAAGGUAAAUUAGUUAAAAACUCGGGUUUUAAUGAAAUCAACAUUUUAAAUAAUAAACCGAGUUUUCUAAGAUGCAUGAAAACAUAUGAAAAUCCUAAGUGCACUCAUGCAUUCAUCUUACAUUAGUUUCCUAUGAUCUCAAGUCUUCCAAGCAUCUUGAUCUUGUAUCCAUUUGGUCAUUUGAUGAAUUUUCGAGUUUAUACUUGUGAUUCUUAAAUAUUAAACCAAUUAGUUACUUAACCAUAGUUUGUUAUCAUCAAAACCCGAUUAAGAGAACCUUUGGGCUAACAAUAUUAUAUCUUUUGCCAUUAUUAUGUAACCGAGCCUAUUGCUUAAUUCCUACAUCCGCUAAAUAAAUCGAUUUCUCUAAUUUUCCAUGCAUGUGAUUUAUUACUUAUUAUUAUUUGACCUUGUCAUAUGGAUAAAACUUUUCAACUUCUUUUGAAUUAACUUUUCACUUUUUCACAUUUUAAAACUUAUUUUUUCAUAACUAACAAUGAAUUUUUUUUUACCAACAAUGGUGACUAAAAAGAAAUAAAAUGAUAAUAUAAAAAAAAUAUUGGCUGCUUACAUUUUUAACAUCUUUCGUGACUAAAAAUAAAGAGUAGAUGAAAUAAUAGUGAAAAUUUAGGCUUUUUCUUCUGGACACAAAAAAAAAAAAGAGCAAAUAGAUGAUCAAAUAAAAAAAUAAAAAGCUAAUCUACUAUAAAAUGGAGGUAACGAGAAAAUGAUGUUGAAGGGAAAAAAAUUGGGUAUUUUUGUCCUAAUUGGAUAAUUUUUUCUACUUUUUGAGGGAUAAAUUAUUUUUUUAAAUAUGAGAGUUAUUUUAAUCCCUUUUAACCAAAUAACCCAAAUUUUAAACGGUUAGAAAAGGUAUUGAGAAGUUGUUUUGAAAGCUUAAAGCUGUGUCAAAAAUGGUCAAUGGGCUUGUACCUCCAACUUUUCCACCUUAGAAAGCCUUAGGAUUCAGAGAACCUUAUCUAUGAAUUAGGUGAAAAGGAAUGCCUCUCCCCUCUAACCAUUAUUAAAGCUAGCGAAGCAUAAGAAGAGUCCACGUUUUUCCCCCACAAGAAAGCUAAAAGUUAGCUCAAAAGCCUCAUAAGUCUCCUAGGAAAACUUAUUAUCUAUGAAUGACAGCAUUUUUAAAAAUAGUUUUUUUCAGCUUAUUAUCUAUGAAUGGAGGCUUAAUGCAAAACUUUUCAAGAGUAUUUUGUUAUAUUUUCAAUUGAUUCUCAUAACACUUAACAAAAAAAAGCCUAAAAACAUAUCAUAUUUGUUCUUAAAAAAGAACCAUUUUUCAAAAAAUUAUUCUUAGUAAAAAGUUUGUCAAACACUUUUUUAAAAUUGGAGUUAGGUUUUCUAUUUUGACAAAAAAAAUUAUUUUCAAAAACUGUUUCCAACCACUAAUUUAAUUUAAAAACUUUAAUUGUUAAAUGAUAUACCAACUACAUAUAUUAAGUUGAUUUUUUGCUAAAAACCCUAACACCAAACUUAUCAGGCAACCGCUAUUUUCUGAACUAAUUUAAUUUAAAAGCUUAAAUUGUUAGAUAAUUAGCCAUAUGUAUCAAGCCUACCCAUGCUAAAAGCCCUAACAACAUCAAACUCAAAACUUGAUGCCAGAGGUCUUCAUACUUCAACUUCAGCCUGAUUACUCAACAUACAGAGGCCACCAUCCUCACAAAGAAAAUGAAACUAAGCAGAACAACAAGCAUACAAUUAAUCUACCGCCCAGAUGCUAAGGAUCCAACAGACAUCACUCCAUAGGAUGAUGGGUGUGAGUCAGUUUUGGAGUCCAAUGAGCCCACAAAGAAACCUAAACUUGAAGCAUCAACCUCGGGGAGUGGGUCGAAGCCACUGAGAUAUCUUGUAACCUGCUGCAUAUUAGGCCUAGCCUGUGGCUCUGGGUGAGAACAGAGGAGGCCAACCUUCAAAACCAAUUCAAUCUCCUCCUUCACAUAUGAAUUCCCAAGCUUUGGAUCUGCAGCUUCAAGUAUAUGACCCCUCUGAUGACACUGUGUCACCCAAUCUUGUAGAAUCAUCUGUUUCCCGGACGAGGCAUUGGGGUCUAGAGGCCUCCUCCCACAUGCCACUUCUAGUAGUACUGCCCCAAAGGCGAAUACAUCGGAGCUUGCGGUGGCCUUUCCAGUGAGGGAGAGCUCCGGUGCUAUGUACCCCACUGUGCCCACCACAUGGGUGGUGCUGGGGUUCUUCCCAUGCUCAUAUAGUUUGGCCAGGCCGAAGUCUCCUAGCCGGGCAUUCAUAUUUGAGUCAAGCAGGACAUUGUUGGCCUUCACAUCCCUAUGGACAACUACCUGUUCCCAUUCUUCAUGUAAAUAUAGGAGGCCUGCAGCAAUCUCCUUGAGGAUCCUGAACCUCUGUCCCCAAUCAAGGUUCUUGUCUUCUUGAAACAGGAAGGUGUCCAGGCUGCCAUUGGACAUAUAAUCAUAAACAAGAAGGAGAUCGCCUUUUCGCUUACACCAACCUUGGAGAUGAACCAAGUGCCUGUGCCUCAGCUUGCCUAGGCUUGCAAUCUCUGCAACAAACUCCUUCACUCCCUGCUUGGAAUUGUGGGAAAUUCUCUUUACAGCAACUUCUUCUCUAGUCUUUGGCAGCACCCCCUUGUAGACGGAACCGAACCCACCUUUGCCCAGAAUCUGGCUCUCCUUGAAGCCCUUUGUGGCAAUAUAAAGGUCUUUGUAUCUAAACCUAUGGGGGAAGUCCAAUUCCCAAUCUUCCAGGACCUCAGCUAGCCUUGCCCUUCUUAGCAUAUACACAGAAAUGGCGAUUCCACACAGAAGCAACGCAAGGGUCACCAUUGCUGACGCUGCUCCAAUCUCAAUCCCUCUUCUCCCAAGGCCUGGAGAUGGGGUUCCAUUUCUUGGGGGAGAAGGGAUUUUAGAGAGAUCAAGAGGGUCUGCUUCUGUACUACCCAUCUUCAAACUCCACCCCAGAAUGUAAUGAGAGCUAGCAAGCUUCUCAGUGGCAGCUGAGAAGCCAACAUACAUGGACUCUUUAAAGAUAGGGGAUAAGUCCAUGGCUAGAGACAAGAGGGGUUUGCUUGGUUUAGGAAGAGAAGCAGGGGAAAUGGUGACAUUGACGAUUUUUUGAGCUCCAUCAUACUCGAUCCAAGCUUGGAUUGGAUUCCCACUCUCCAAAACCACUUCAUGAGAGGAUUUGGAGGAGUGAUCAUAGUAUGAAGCUGGCUUAGAAGCAUUAGACCUAACAGUAUUGAUGUCUAUACCAACAUGGUUAUCAUCGAUAUCUCCAUACAUAACCAGGGAUUGAACUGUAUCAAACUCAACCGCAAACAAAUGGUUGGAGAAGUUCCCCAUGGUGACCUCAUUAAAAAGACCAAAAAGAUUACCAAGUCCACCAUCUGAAAGGUUCUUGGUGGGAGAAACAGUGAAGACAAAACCAUGCCCACCAGACCCACCAGCAAACCUGGGGACAAUGGCAAAAACGAAGGUUGUGGCAAAGGAGGAAGCUGUGGUGGGGUGUUGGGAAUCAUGGCUGUUCUUGUUGAGAAAGUGAAAUGGGGUGUUGUAGAAGGCAUGGCCAGUGAGGUUGUGUGAUGAGUUUGUAAGCCUGAGAGCCCCAUUUGGCGUGAUGAGGGAAGCCCCACCAAGGCUUAAGUUGGAUGCAGAAGCUUUGAAGCCAUUGAAGACGAAGCCAUAAUCAGACUGAGAGUAAGCUUGAUUAAGGAGGAGCAGAG
This 35772-nucleotide long non-coding RNA is filed under the name Vitis vinifera (wine grape). Its description in RNAcentral is "long non-coding RNA (VVIN_LNC003995)". Lineage: Eukaryota; Viridiplantae; Streptophyta; Magnoliopsida; Vitales; Vitaceae. The record is from RNAcentral.